Molecule: ribosomal RNA, 397 nt
Filed under: uncultured bacterium
Lineage: Bacteria
Description: bacterial SSU rRNA
Rfam family: Bacterial small subunit ribosomal RNA
Source: RNAcentral
GACGAACGCUGGCGGCGUGCUUAACACAUGCAAGUCGAGCGGUAAGGCCCUUUCGGGGGUACACGAGCGGCGAACGGGUGAGUAACACGUGGGUGACCUGCCUCUAGCUCUGGGAUAAGCCUGGGAAGCUGGGUCUAAUACCGGAUAUGACCUCGCGGUGCAUGUUGCGGGGUGGAAAGCCUUGUGCGGCUAGGGAUGGGCCCGCGGCCUAUCAGCUUGUUGGUGGGGGUAAUGGCCUACCAAGGCGACGACGGGUAGCCGGCCUGAGAGGGCGACCGGCCACACUGGGACUGAGACACGGCCCAGACUCCUACGGGAGGCAGCAGUGGGGAAUCUUGCGCAAUGGGCGAAAGCCUGACGCAGCGACGCCGCGUGAGGGAUGACGGCCUCGGUGUAA